UACAGAGGUCUCAAGCGUUGUUCGGAUUCAUUGGGCGUAAAGGGCGCGUAGGCGGCUGGGUAAGUCGGGUGUGAAAUCUCAGGGCUCAACUCUGAAACUGCACUCGAUACUGCUCUGCUUGAGGACUGGAGAGGAGACUGGAAUUCACGGUGUAGCAGUGAAAUGCGUAGAUAUCGUGAGGAAGACCAGUGGCGAAGGCGGGUCUCUGGACAGUUCCUGACGCUGAGGCGCGAAGGCCAGGGGAGCAAACGGG
This 253-nucleotide ribosomal RNA is filed under the name uncultured bacterium. RNAcentral describes it as "partial 16S ribosomal RNA". It matches the Rfam family "Bacterial small subunit ribosomal RNA", at positions 524 to 776 of the family's 1533-position model. The record is from RNAcentral.